This 237-nucleotide ribosomal RNA is filed under the name uncultured Actinomycetales bacterium. Its description in RNAcentral is "partial 16S ribosomal RNA". It matches the Rfam family "Bacterial small subunit ribosomal RNA", at positions 96 to 334 of the family's 1533-position model. The record is from RNAcentral. Lineage: Bacteria; Bacillati; Actinomycetota; Actinomycetes; Actinomycetales.
UGGCGAACGGGUGAGUAACACGUGAGUAACCUGCCCUUGACUUUGGGAUAACUUCAGGAAACUGGGGCUAAUACCGGAUAGGAGCUCCUGCUGCAUGGUGGGGGUUGGAAAGUUUCGGCGGUUGGGGAUGGACUCGCGGCUUAUCAGCUUGUUGGUGGGGUAGUGGCUUACCAAGGCUUUGACAGGUAGCCGGCCUGAGAGGGUGACCGGCCACAUUGGGACUGAGAUACGGCCCAG